GAGUUUGAUCAUGGCUCAGGACGAACGCUGGCGGCGUGCCUAAUACAUGCAAGUCGAGCGGGGAUUAUGCUUGAUCGCUUCGGUGAGACGGCAUAUAUCCUAGCGGCGGACGGGUGAGUAACGCGUGGGUAAUCUACCUCGUAGUUCGGGAUAACAGGCCGAAAGGCUUGCUAAUACCGGAUGAGUUCAUGCUUAUGCAUAUAGGCAUGAAGAAAGGGCUAGCCUGCUAUGAGAUGAGCCCGCGUCCCAUUAGCUUGUUGGUGGGGUAAUGGCCUACCAAGGCAACGAUGGGUAGCCGGCCUGAGAGGGUGUACGGCCACACUGGGACUGAGACACGGCCCAGACUCCUACGGGGGGCAGCAGUAGGGAAUUUUCGGCAAUGGGCGAAAGCCUGACCGAGCGACGCCGCGUGAGGGACGAAGGCCUUCGGGUUGUAAACCUCUGUCUGGGGGGAUGAGAACGGACGGUACCCCCGGAGGAAGCCCCGGCUAACUACGUGCCAGCAGCCGCGGUAAUACGUAGGGGGCUAGCGUUGUCCGGAAUUACUGGGCGUAAAGGGCGUGUAGGCGGUCGUGCAAGUCGGUUGUGAAAGUCUAGGGCUCAACUCUAGGAUGCCGAUCGAAACUGCAUGGCUUGAGGGCAGGAGAGGAGAGCGGAAUUCCUGGUGUAGCGGUGGAAUGCGUAGAUAUCAGGAAGAACACCAGUGGCGAAGGCGGCUCUCUGGCCUGAAACUGACGCUCAGGUACGAAAGCUGGGGGAGCGAACGGGAUUAGAUACCCCGGUAGUCCCAGCCGUAAACGAUGGACACUAGGUGUUGGGGGUUCGAAUCCUUCAGUGCCGAAGCAAACGCAUUAAGUGUCCCGCCUGGGGAGUACGGUCGCAAGACUGAAACUCAAAGGAAUUGACGGGGGCCCGCACAAGCGGUGGAGCAUGUGGUUUAAUUCGAUGCAACGCGAAGAACCUUACCGAGACUUGACAUCCCGUGACUAUCUGUGAAAGCAGAGUCUGCCUUCGGGCACACGGAGACAGGUGGUGCAUGGUUGUCGUCAGCUCGUGUCGUGAGAUGUUGGGUUAAGUCCCGCAACGAGCGCAACCCCUAUCCAGUGUUGCCAGCGGGUAAUGCCGGGGACUCACUGGAGACUGCCGGAGACGAUCCGGAGGAAGGUGGGGAUGACGUCAAAUCAUCAUGGCCCUUAUGCCCUGGGCUACACACGCGCUACAAUGGCCGGUACAACGGGCUGCGAAGGAGCGAUCCGGAGCGAAUCCCUUAAAGCCGGCCCCAGUUGGGAUCGCAGGCUGCAACUCGCCUGCGUGAACACGGAAUUGCUAGUAAUCGCGAAUCAGCUACGUCGCGGUGAAUACGUUCCCGGGCCUUGUACACACCGCCCGUCAAGCCAUGGGAGCUGGUAACACCCGAAGUCAGUGACCCAACCCCGUAAGGGGAGGGAGCUGCCGAAGGUGGGGCUGGUGACUGGGGCUAAGUCGUAACAAGGUAGCCG
This 1499-nucleotide ribosomal RNA is filed under the name uncultured bacterium. Its description in RNAcentral is "bacterial SSU rRNA". It matches the Rfam family "Bacterial small subunit ribosomal RNA". The record is from RNAcentral.